This 484-nucleotide ribosomal RNA is filed under the name uncultured bacterium. RNAcentral describes it as "partial 16S ribosomal RNA". It matches the Rfam family "Bacterial small subunit ribosomal RNA", at positions 28 to 507 of the family's 1533-position model. The record is from RNAcentral.
GACGAACGCUGGCGGCGUGCUUAACACAUGCAAGUCGAACGGAAAGGCCCUGCUUGCAGGGUACUCGAGUGGCGAACGGGUGAGUAACACGUGGGUGCUCUGCCCUGCACUUCGGGAUAAGCUUGGGAAACUGGGUAUAAUACCGGAUAGGAGCUAUCUUUAGUGUGGUGGUUGGAAAGUUUUUUCGGUGUAGGAUGAGCUGGCGGCCUAUGAGCUUGUUGGAGGGGUAAAGGCCUACCAAGGCGGCGACGGGUAGCCGGCCGGAGAGGGUGUACAGCCACACUGGAAGUGAGAGAAGGGGGAGAAUGAUACGGGAGGCAGCAGCGGGGAAUCUUGGACAAUGGGCGGAAGGAUGAUACAGCUAUAGCGUGUGGGGGAAGAAGGGCUUCGGGUCGUAAAGCCUUUUUGUGGGGAAAGAAAAGAAGCAGGUUAAUACCCCGCUGUUCUGAAGGUACCAAAAGAAUAAGCACCGGCUAACUUCGUG